CAAUAGCGUAUAUUAAAGUUGUUGCGGUUAAAAAGCUCGUAGUUGGAGUUCUGCCAGGUGACGCUCGUCCGCCCAAGUGGUGUGUACAGGGCGUGCAUCUGGCCCUUUCAAGGGGAACGUGUCUGCACUUUACUGUGUGGUGCGAGAUCCUUGACUUUUACUUUGAGGAAAUCAGAGUGUUCCAAGCAGGCUCUCGUCGUGUAUAGCUCAGCAUGGAAUAAUAGCAUUGGACUUCGUUUCUAAGCUGUUGGUUGCAAGAAGCGAGGUAAUGAUGAAGAGGGAUAGUUGGGGGCAUUCGUAUUUAACUGUCAGGGGUGAAAUUCUUGGAUUUGUUAAAGACGGACUACUGCGAAAGCAUCUGCCAUGGAUGUUUUCAUUGA
This 380-nucleotide ribosomal RNA is filed under the name uncultured eukaryote. RNAcentral describes it as "partial 18S ribosomal RNA". It matches the Rfam family "Eukaryotic small subunit ribosomal RNA", at positions 592 to 976 of the family's 1831-position model. The record is from RNAcentral.